GGUUCAGAUCCGUAGUUUAGAAAUCGGUCAAUGGCGGACGAAUGCAAGAAAAUUUACAAAAAUAAACGAUGUUUGACAAGUUAUUUGGAAAGGAACAUGACGUUUUUAAUGCAAUUGAUGGAUUAAACAUUUACUGGAGGCAACUUUUAUCACGUUUAAAUGAAGUAACAAACUUAUUUUGCCGCCAAAAUUUAGGUUGAUGUACGUCUUCGAGUAACAAGC
RNAcentral lists this long non-coding RNA (222 nucleotides) under Mytilus galloprovincialis (Mediterranean mussel). The record is from RNAcentral. Lineage: Eukaryota; Metazoa; Mollusca; Bivalvia; Mytilida; Mytilidae.